This 787-nucleotide ribosomal RNA is filed under the name Sphingobacterium sp. HV-XIV. RNAcentral's name for it is "bacterial SSU rRNA". It matches the Rfam family "Bacterial small subunit ribosomal RNA", at positions 102 to 890 of the family's 1533-position model. The record is from RNAcentral. Lineage: Bacteria; Pseudomonadati; Bacteroidota; Sphingobacteriia; Sphingobacteriales; Sphingobacteriaceae.
ACGGGUGCGUAACGCGUGAGCAACCUACCUCUAUCAGGGGGAUAGCCUCUCCAAAGAGAGAUUAACACCGCAUAACAUCAACCGUUCGCAUGUUCUGUUGAUUAAAUAUUUAUAGGAUAGAGAUGGGCUCGCGUGACAUUAGCUAGUUGGUAGGGUAACGGCUUACCAAGGCGACGAUGUCUAGGGGCUCUGAGAGGAGAAUCCCCCACACUGGUACUGACACACGGACCAGACUCCUACGGGAGGCAACAAUAAGGAAUAUUGGUCAAUGGGCGGAAGCCUGAACCAGCCAUGCCGCGUGCAGGAUGACUGCCCUAUGGGUUGUAAACUGCUUUUGUCCAGGAAUAAACCUCUUUACGUGUAGAGAGCUGAAUGUACUGGAAGAAUAAGGAUCGGCUAACUCCGUGCCAGCAGCCGCGGUAAUACGGAGGAUCCGAGCGUUAUCCGGAUUUAUUGGGUUUAAAGGGUGCGUAGGCGGCCUAUUAAGUCAGGGGUGAAAUACGGUGGCUCAACCAUCGCAGUGCCUUUGAUACUGAUGGGCUUGAAUCCAUUUGAAGUGGGCGGAAUAAGACAAGUAGCGGUGAAAUGCAUAGAUAUGUCUUACAACUCCGAUUGCGAAGGCAGCUCACUAAGCUGGUAUUGACGCUGAUGCACGAAAGCGUGGGGAUCGAACAGGAUUAGAUACCCUGGUAGUCCACGCCCUAAACGAUGAUAACUCGAUGUUGGCGAUAGACAGCCAGCGUCUUAGCGAAAGCGUUAAGUUAUCCACCUGGGGAGUACGCCCGCA